GUGUGCGGGUGGAGGAACGGGCGCUUCGUUUGGGCUGAUGCAAUUGUGCCUUGUAGGAAGGGAGAGCGGGUGCCAGGCUGGUAUUGGAGGGGUAGAGAGGCAGGAAUGCCGAUUUACUUCGCUUUGGCGUGCUCUGCUGUAGGGCGAGCAGUUCCACGUCUGCCACGUAAUUCUGAGAUGGAAGUACACAACUUUCCCCGAGUAGCCCUGUGUGUGUGUGUAGGUGCCAGGCAGGGACUGGUGGUGCGUGUGUCACUUGGACGUGGCUUUGUCAGGCAAUACUCGCUUUGCGCAGCAAGCUAAUAGCAACCAUUACAGAAGCCCGACGGCUUCUCAGUUCGCAUCUCGGGAUAAGUCUGUCUGGGAACAGCUAUGAUAAGGACCUUUGCCCAGUGGUGUAUGAAACUUCAAACUUCUUCUUUCCAAAUAGUAUUGUUCUUUGGAUUACUUUAAACUUCUGUAUUUUGCAGUAAGCAUAAGUAGAGAUUGCUAAGGCUUGCUGUUUACCUUUGGAGGCAGCUGAAUAUUUAGAAUGAAGUGGGUAAAUAAGGCGUAUGCGUAGCUUACUGUAAAACUAGGUUUUUCGAAAGUAAACAUGGAGACAAGAGAAAGAAGGGUGCAUACUUCCCCGACCACAACAAAAGGUACAACUACAGUCACGCUAUGGGAAGCUAGGAGUAGAAGAUUGCUCUGCAGUGCACCAAAUACAUGUUACAGUGUAACCAAACACAGUUUCUUAAAAACAAGCAAAGCUAGGAGACUCUUUUGAAAGAGACCCUCCGUAGGGUGGGUGAUGCAAGAUUACCAUUUAAAGGAAUAAAUGGGUGGUAAAAGCACUAUUUUAUCUGUAUUGAACUGUGACUCUGUUCCCAUUCCUAAAACUGUUGAAUUUUUUGAACUCCAAAUCAGAAGUUGCUCCCAUGUUGGCUUUUUCUUUCCAUGCUUACACUACACGCAUUUAAUCCUCCUGUCUUCUUUGGAAAGGCCCCUUUUUUUUUCUUUUCUGUGUAUAUGGAUUUGGCACAAGGCUUACGUCUUUACAUGGGAAUAAGCAACUACAGUGCAGGCUCUUCACUCUACUUGCAAGUGCAAGGUAACUUGGUGACCAGUAAGGAAAAGAUGGCCUUCUCUAGAGUUUAAGGUUGUAAGCAGUCAUCUGUAACGCUCUGCCUUUCAACUUGUACGUGUUGUUUCAAUUCCUCCCAUUUUUCAAGGUUCCCCUUUUUGUUCCCCCUUCCUUGUGCUGUAGUUUCAUCUAAUAAGAAGAUGAGAAAUGAAAAACUGCCAAGCAAGUGAAAAGGCAGAAGCAGCGUUUUCGGAGGGCCGUUGCCACUCAGUUGCUCAGAUGUGAUGUGUGGUUGGGUAAUGUGCUGCAUAGUUUAGCUGCUGUGGUUUGUGGCUCUUCUGCUUUUUGAUGGCCUUGAUGGCAGACCCAUUUGCUGUGGCCAGUAGUCUGCAGCGAGACAGAAAUGUUACUAAGUGGGAUGUGUUGUGCAGGCCUGGUUUAACCAUCACAGUCUGUUUUGUCAGGCAGGUAAUCGUUGCUCCGUAGCUUAAAAUCUGCUAUCUGUAUUUAGCUUAUUUCCUUGUGCACGACUGCAUGUGUGCAUUAGGAGUUUAUCUUGCUUACGCUCAGUCGUCUGAAGACCUGAAUGCUCCGUUUACUUGUAAGAACGAAGAAUCAUUCCCAAAUGCAAUACUUGUGAUCCUGUGGAUGUUUGUGCCAUGAGUAGUUAAUCUAGGUUCUCUCAUAGGGUGGGUGAGCCUUGAGCAGCUAGUUACAGUAUCAGGAAAAGAGAUUAUCUGAGUUCGUAAGCCAUGUAAGUAAUCACUUAGUGAGAUUGCAUCUGUCUUUAACACAAGGGUGGUGCCUGAUUGCUUCCAAAACUUUUAAAGAAAGUCUAGACAUAACCAAAAAGAAUAUUAUUGAUGUUUCUACUCAUCUUUCUGAUGCCAACCAAGCUGAUCUUCUUUUUCCCUCUAUCUUAUUACCCUGUUUUACCCACUCACACACGUACACAGAUGCACAUACACACAGGUCAGUGUAACAAGCAGAGAAGUAUUGGGAUGUUAAAUACUUCAAGCGUGUAUUAUGGUUCUCAGUUUACUUGCACGUUUCAGUUGCUGCUUGAAAUGUUUCAUGAAAACAACAUUUUGAGUCAGGGUUGCAGUGCUCCCUUCGUGUUUGUGACAGGUUUAGUCAGGAUUGCCAUGCUCACCCAGUCAGAAGCAGUUAGUUCUUCUAAACUGGUGCUGUAGGUAGGAAGACUUCCUUGCCUGCAGCACUUCAGUGGUUUCUGCAGAGGGAAGAGAUAAGGUAGAAAAACUCUUCCCUCUACCAGUUGGGCCGGGGUGGGACUGCUGCUCAGGUUACCUUGUAGCAGCAGCGAGUUCUUGAGUAAGUUGAAAAGAAUGUAGCUUAAUAGUUUGGUGAUAAAAUACGGCUGGUAAAAUGCCUAGGUCCUUCCUGAGCCCAGCCUCCCAACACUCCUGUACCUCUGGGUAAGAAGUGAAGCUUUGCAUGCUGAGUCGCAGUGGAUCGAGGAAUGCAUUCAGCAGCUAUUCCACUUGUGGCCUUGUCUCAUCCUGACUGCGAGUAGUAGGCUGUGAGCGUCCUGUGCACCGUACGGGGUACUGGCAGUCUGCAUGGGAGACCAGAGGAGUGAAACCUGGUUUUACAAGCCAGGCGUCCUGUCGUGUUUAACUUGAAAGAAUUUUUGAGUAGUUUCUGAAGAAUUAUUAUCUGACUAGAGAGGUACUAUAUAGGUCAUCGUGAAGUCAUCUGUUAGCACCCAUAGUGGGGGUGCUCUGAGUGAUUUGAUAUGUGAUGUGGUUUGAUCACAUAAGAUGUGUGUGACUCUUUCCACCACCUACAUUAACUGAUAAAAAUGUAAACAGUCUUGUAUGCAGAAAUAAUAAUAAUAAUAAAAAAAAUCCUCUUUGAAUUAUUGAAUGCUAUCUCAAGGUACCCUAGGAAUAAAUGAAAGCAGGAAGCUCUGAUUAUGAAAAUGUUUACGUCGUUAUAGUUGGCUUUGAGGUUUUUGCUUAUCUUCAUUACUUGGCUGAUCUGGGUUUAGUAAGACCCCGCAUAUUAGUGAUUAGUGUGAUGGAAAGGAUGCUGAAGACUUGUGUAAGAGACAGCUGUGGCAGGAAAGGACAAGACGUACUGAACUGAUGGGGCAAAUCUAGUUGCAGUGAUUUGCUCUUAUCUCAAGACAACAGUUAUUUAAGAGAGCAAGUGUUUACUCAGAAUAGAGUUUAGCAGCAAGCUAUAACCAUAGCACGAGUGCUGUGGAUGUGCAUUUCAGGGCAGGGUUAACGUCAGUGCUGUUUUCUGAGCUAGUUGACAGACGACCCUGCAGUCCUGCAAUUCCCCUUAUUUCCACUGAUUCUUCCUCACCCCCAUGGCUUUGAAGUGGCCGGAUCGUUCUGAUCCUUGUCCUAAAGAUGCCACUUUCUGUAGAUGGUUACAUCAAGGAACUUGUGUAUUGUUCCCUGUUGCUCCUGUGUCUUUCAGUUCCUGCAUUUGUGUUUAACUGUUGAGAUAGAUGUUUCCAGUUUGUGCUGGCUGCUAGGUUUUGGCUUGAAGUGCGUAAGGAAAACAGGAAGGCUGGUUGUCUUGUGAACUUUUACUUCAAAUCCUGCACAAAUUGCUUUGCAGUAUGCUUGCGAUGCUUAAUACACAUAAUAUUAAGGGGACUUCAGGGAGCUUGCUCCAAAAUGUUGGUUACAGCCUUCCUCCAGUAUUUGGAAGCAGAUUAGGGGGCUGAGCCUUGAGUGGGGUAAAGCACUGGGCUGUGCAGCACUUGAGUGGGAGGUGGCACUUUACUAAGUACUUGCACUUCAGGAUAUGGGGGCAAAUGAGGGUAGUUUUAUUUCAGAUAGGCAACAUAGCUAGUGGAGGAGAUCUUAUCUUCAGUUGUCCAUUUGCCAUCUGUUACAACUUUAGUAAUUUGUUCUUGUAAUGUGCUUAAGUGAAAGACGGCAAACAAGGCUCCUUCUUGGUAAUAAAUUCUAUAAAGCUGUACAAGCACCAGGACUGUUAAGAUCCAACUCGUUAACGUGCCUUGGAGUUUUCUGAUUGCUUGACUCUUCCAGUGUGGAAGCUGAAGAGAUGAUGGCUGCGUGGAGAUGCCGCAUACCCUGCUGCCUGACACAGUGAGCAUGGGCGUGGACGAAGGUGCUGCCCUAAUUGGGAGGGGUGUCUGUAGAAAUGAGCUGAGUUUGCUGUAGAGUUUGCCACAAGGAAGGCCAUCGAUGCUUCUUCAGAAUGAGAAGCCUGCCUGGGAAGAGGCGGCUGAGCGGCUGGCUGCUAGUCACUCAUUCCUGACCUUGCGCAGCUGUUGCCCAAAUGUGGGGUACAGUGGAUUGGGCUAGGCUGCUGGUCUGGUUUUAAAAAAAACAAUAAUGGAAGAGGUGUGUGCUCUUUUGAACGUGGAUUAGUUCCUGGUCAGAUUCAUCUGGUUAUGUUGUAAGUGGGCAUGGGAGCUAUUUCAAUUGGCACCACCACUGACAAAUUCUUGUGAGCAAGAAUUACUUUGAAAUACAUUACACGGGCUCUCCCUUUUGGUUUUGUGGCUGCGCUGCUGCAUGUUAUAGCUAGUUAUGAGCUGACUGAGUUUGCUACCAGGUCUGGUUAGCAAGUAAAUGAAAGAUUAGUGAGAGCAAGCAUCAGUGAAGCAGUAAGGGAUAUAGACCUCAAAGAGCUUCACGUUUGCUUGAGCUGCUGAAAUAAGUCUCUGGUCACACCAGAACAGAUUGGCCUUGUGACCCCUCUAGCUGAGGAGGGUAAUCAUUUGGAUAACUUAAUUUUACCUGUAUGUGUCUCAUACUCACUCUGUUAAGGGAUGGAAUUUUAUUUAAUGGCUUUAAUCUCAUCCCUCUGUAUGCCAGCGGGAAAAACAACAACUCUGUUUGCCUUUGAGGCUGGUGAAAACACCAAUGACUAGUGUAAAAAUGUUACUAAUACUUUGAAUGAUUCAAAGUAUCUUCUGCAAAUGUUUUUGGUGUCUUAUAGAUCUGUUGUCACUGAGCUGAUUGCAACUUUGUGGGUUGAUAUUUGUAAGAAUAAUAAAAACACACAACUUCUUGGGUCUGGUUGAUGCUGUGCCUUUGCACUGUGUCUUCUUGUAAAAUCUGCAUAUCCACAUCCCUGAAUUUUUUUGUCUCCAGCUUCUGACCCUUAAUACUCUAAUUUCUUUAGUAGACUUUGUGACAGUUUUAGUGGAUUGCUGUGAUCAUCCCAGGAAAUGUUUAUGAUGGUGGGAUGUUUUCUUCAAUACCUGUGCCACAUGUUGAGCAUAUGUGCUCAGCUUCUCUCAGUUCUUUAGUUAAACAAGCUUAAAGAUAUUCUUCAAUGUAGGAGAAAAUUGUUGUUUCAAGGAGACUCUUUUAAGGUGUGCUCUCUAUCGUCGCCCUUCUUUAGUCGUAAUUCUUAUUUUCAUGAAUCUUUCCCUGUGCCCAGGAGUAAUCUGCCGUGCUUGCUGGUAGCUGUGUCAGUAUCCCAUGAUUAGAAGUAAAUCAGUUGUUAUCAGCAAUUCCAGCUGCCCUUUGCUCUUUGAGUGAGUUUACUUGUCACUUUGGGUUUUUAAUUCUUUCAGUUUGACUUUGUCAACAAGAACUGUUUACAUGAAUUUGAACUCUUGUAAACUUGGUCGUGGAAGGAAAACCACUUAAGGCUGUGGAAUGGAAAAGUGCAGUGUCUGGUUUGGAAAGUACCUGAGCUGUUGAUUGGUGUCCCGGUCUCCGGCAUAGGCAGGGAAGUAUUGUCUUGUGAUCCCUGGGGAAAAAGCAUUAGAACAGUGCUAGAUGUUAUCAGCUUCUAGACUAAAUAAGCAUCUGCCCAAACCUGACAUAUGACUGAUUCUUUAAGUGGGGCAUGAGGCAACAAUAACGCUUGUUCAUGGAUCUCUGUGCCUUCACAAGUGUCGCAGUUUUAUGCUUUCCAGGUUGAGGGACAGAUACACCAGUUAAAUGUUUUCCUCAGGAUAGGACAAGAAAGCCAUGGCCUAGCUUGCAGGGGAGCUCAGGUGUUCUCUGCUGUUUCUCGUGCGUGCUCCUCACUGCUUGUUAAAAGCAUUGACCAGGGAUGUAAACCUUACACAAGUUCUGCUGUACCUCGGCAGAACAACGGGCAGCCUUGCCUAAGGUGGAGAAGACUACGUGAAAAACUGACUCUCUGGCAUGGGAGUUGAAGCUGGCACCGGCACUUAGGGACUCUGAAGGCUUGCUGUCUGUAAGUUCUGUCAAAGUAGGUGCGCAGGGAUAUACGGGGCUGAGGUGCACUGAUGUUACUGACUGCUUUGACAGCUUUACUGCAGCCUGCUUAAGGAUUCGCAGUGAAACUGGUUUACUUUCACUUGAGGUGACAAAAUGCUGUGUUUUUUCCUCAUUGCUGAGUCAGGGCAGAGCUCAGCUGAAUGUGCAAAGAGGCCAACAGCAAGCAAAUGUUGUGUUAGCAGCUGCUCUUCUGAGCUUGUGUCUGCACAAGGAUGAGCAGCAAGGUGGUAUUUGUGGGCUAGGAGUCAGCAGUUCAGUUUCUUAGCACAAGUAGGGUGCUGCAGGACUGCCCAUGUUACUGAAGAGACAAGACUUUCCUUCAGUGGUCUGAAAUACUCGAAAUAUCUGGGGUAUUUCAAGCAAAAUGCUGUUCUGGUGCUCGGUGACUGAGAGCAAAACUAAGCCAUUCCAGCCUCCUCUGCAGAACUUAGUUUCUGUUGCUUUGAAAUUGAGGUGUCAAGAUUGGCUGCCCAUGGAGGGCACCAGGGAAGAGCAGAUAUCCAGGCUGUGGCCCACGGAGGAGUCCAUGCGGAAGCAGGUUCUCCUGAAGAAUUGCAGCCCAUGGGAAGGACCCAUGCAGAAGCAGGGGAGAAGUGUGAGGAGGGAAGAGCAGCAGAGAGGAGCUGUUAUGGACUGAUCGUAAGCUCCCUUGUACCCCUGGCUGCCUGGCCAGGGAAAGGAGGCAGAGGAGUUGGGAAUGAAGGAGUGAAGGUGAGAUUGGGGGAGUGGGAAUACAAGGAGGGAGGGUGGGAAGGUGUUUUAGUUUCUUUUUUUCUCACAACCCAACUCUAAUUUUUAUUGCAAAUUAAAAUAACUUUCCCCAUGUCAAGUGUGUUUUGCCUGUGAUAGUAACUACAAGUGAUCACCGUGUCCUUAUCUCAACCCAUGAGCUUUCUCAUCUUAUUUUCUCAUCAUAUUUCCCUGGUUGGGAAGGAGGAGUGAGAGGGCAGCUGGGUGGGUGGGUGUCUGUCAGCCAGCCAAAGUCAACCUACUGCAGUGACGUACAAGAAUACAUACGUAGGAAUAUACACAUGUGUACAUGCAUUUUUAUACCUAUACACCUACUAGGACUUGAGAUAACACCAUGGUGGAUUUCUGGUGUAGAGGUGGUCAGCCACAGCAUAUUCUUUCUUAGGCUGAGGUAUGUGGUCCUUAAUACUUGUGUGUUCUUAUGAAACACAGCAUCUUUUGUUACUGGGUGGAAUGGCAUAUGGAAGGAUGGAAUGGAGGAUUUUGCUUGUGUAUUAAGGUAAAAUUGCGUCUUCGUGUGGAAAUUUUAUCCUACGUCUGGAUGCUUAAACAGAUCUUAGUGGAAUUUCAGAGGAAUGAUUUAGGCCUGUCUUCUCCUAGCUAUUAAGACCAUCAAAGACAGGAUUUUUCCACCGGAUAUUUUGUUUACAGUGAGAGAAUAAUGGCAUGUAGAGACAUAGGUGGCUGUAUUGUAAGAGGAGAACUUUGUAACUUUGUGCUGCUUUUCUAAAAUAAGAUGUUUUGUAAGGAGCUGACUGCUGUUGUUUCUUGAGGGAUGUAUGGGGAAACUUUAGGUGGGGGAAAUAGCUAAAUGUCAUGUGACUGUAGUUUGAGAGAGAUGUCAACAGUGGACUUUGUUUCACAAUGCACUUGCUUUCAGUAACGAAUACCCAAUAUCGCUGUUUUGCAAGUGUGGAUUGUUUUGGUGACUUACGAAGCUUAGUCACUAGAAAAUCCCACAUCCUCUUUUCUCCUGGAAACUUCUGGGCUGCUAGGGAAACCACAGUGAACAUACAGGUAUGUUGACUUUAAAGAUCUCGACAAAACCACAGAAAUGUGAGCCGCUGAGACUGUUGUAUUAAUGCAUCUAUUUCCAUCUUCCUGAUCUGCGACUCUGUCGUCAGCUUGUUACCUGUAGCAGCCUGUCUGAAUCUUUUCAUCUUUCUUUCAUCAGACUUUUUGAUUAUUUCCUGAUUUUUCAUCCAUACGAGGCUAUUUAUAAAUGAUAUAAAUGACUGUAUUGCCAGACAUCUUUAAGAUAAAUGAAGCAAGUUGUUUGUAUUAAUUAGUAAACCGAUGACUAGGCGUUUUGAGAGGAUGGCAGUGCAGCAUGGAACUGCAGCCACCGUCAGCAUGCAGUGCUUAGUGAUCUGAUAGAAGUUUCCACUUAAGCUGUGUUAGUGCUUGUGGAAAUCAGAUGCCUGUGAUUACAGCUUUAAUUUGCAUUCUAGUUUUGUUAGGACUCCUAGUGAUCAAGCUGAGGUGGAUCCAGAGGAAUCAAGUUUAUUUUGGGGUGUUCAUAGCCUUAAUUAACAGAACUUUUUAAUUGGGUCCAUGAUCUCAGUGUGGACACUAUGAUCUGCAAAGGACUUUUAACUAUUGGUGUAACUAAUUAGUGUAAAGCUUCAGUGCCAAGAAAGGAUUUCCUUGUAUGUGCUUCCAAGCCCCAUUUUCAACCUUUCCCAGCUAGUGCGUGCCCUAUUUCUAAAUACGAAAAUGUAGAAUAAAACCAUUUCUUGCCCAGAAGGUUUUCAUUAACCGGUAUGAAAAGAGUGGAAGCAACCAGGGGAUACAAGUGAAUGGUGAGAAAGUACGUCAGCUGGAGUGGGCAUCGAUCUGUAAGCACUGCCAGCUUAGGCACUGUUGGAUUUAUACAGAUGGUGUUGCCAAAUGUUUUGGAGGCAUUUCAAGAGAUUAGAAGAAAUUUCUUUACUGAAAGGGUUGUGCGGCAUUGCAGGCUGCCCAGGGAAGUGGUUGAGUCACCAUCCCUGGAGGUAUUCGUGAAAUGUGUAGAUUUAGAACUUAAUAGCACGGUUUAGUGGGAACUUCAGUACUAGGUUAAAGGUUGGACUCGAUGAUCUUAGAGAUUUUUUUCCAACCUCAAUGCUUCUAUGAUUGUAAGAGACUUUGAAGGAACUGAAAUAAGUUUGCACUGUUUGAGCAGACACUCCAAAGGGUGAGGGACGAUGUCUAGGAGAAAAAGUAAGAAUGAGUAUAGCUUUGGAUAUCACCAGUUAGUGGUAGUGGAUGGGGGAGGUAUCCAGAUGUUGACCUGUUAGAUAGCCAGUCGCAUAUGCAAUGUCUCCUCUACAGAUUAAGUUGCUAGCUCGUUUCACUUAGUCUCAGCUGACCUGGCCAAAGAUCCCUCUGAGGGAUCUUUCCUCUGAGGGACCUGCAAGGAGGACUCCUCUCAGCACCCUGAAGGCAGCGGUUAGCCAUCCUCUCUAAGAGUUGUUCUGUGGAGGUGUGCCCCGUGUCAAAGAUACUGGAAAGUAAACUUCACCAGUGUAAUACUACAACCUUUUUGUGUUACUGUUGAAAACUGUGAGCUUGAUUGCUCUUAAUCCCACUGAAAGCUGAAGAGUUAACCAUGAUUUGUUUAACUAACCAUAUGCAAACUCUUGUGGUUAUGGAUGCCUGUCUGCUACCCGUUCGGACUGACUCUAUCUUCCCAUGCUUUGCUGCUGGGUAAUUACAAAGGCUUCCUCCACAUAGGUGAUUUCAAAGCAAUAUCUUGUUGCCACUCACAAGAACUGCUGAUGUAUGGAUGCCAGGGGGCUGUGAACUGGGUCAGGGUCAAACUAGCUGAAAACAUGCAACUUUUUCACUAGUUUUGUGCAUCCUGGCAAACACGCCAGGGUUUUUACAAUGGAAUCAAUAAGCUCUCGAUCUUCAGGUCUGCUUUAGCUACUGUAGAACUGCACCUUCGGAGUUAGGAAGGUCUUGUUCAUUCACAACAGGUAAAUGGAAACAAUAUGACAUCAGUAAAGUUGGCUAGGUGGAGAUGCUGUGUAGUGGAUCAUGCUUGUUCUGGACGUGUGUAUGGUGAAUACUGCAUCUUCCGUCAUCAAUUCACAGAGGAAAGCAGAGAUCUUACAUAUAUGGUGUCGUCUUCUUACUAAUGUUAAUGUUACCCUUGGAGCAGUGAAUAUUGCAGUUCCUAGUAACUGCCUUAAUGCCUGUCUUUUUCAAGAGAGCAAAAAAGCGUUUGGGAUGUUGCUCUCAGUCCUGAGACUCUCCAGCUGUCCUUGCCGCAUAUUGGGUGAUACAUGUCUGGCAGAUACUCUGCUUCUAUUUUACAACUGCAUAUCUCUUUUUUUUCCCCUCCAAUCUUUUAUUCUAUAUGUAGAAUACAUAUAGAAUAAAUAACCUGUAUGUAGGUUGUUCAAUCACUAGAUAUAGACAGUGCCUUAGAUGUUGUAACUGCCUGGAUGUCAGCCAGCUGGUGUUGAGGGUGGUGUUUGGGGAAAAUGAAUGAUGAUUGCUCUUUAUGGUAACCUCAGCUCAUGUUCAAAGAGCAGGACAUCAGCAGUAACUUCCUGUUAUGGAAGCUGAGCGUUCGGCUUUUAAGCUCUGGUACGUGGUAAAUGUUUUUAACUUCGUCCAUACUGUGGAAAAGAGGCUAGCCAAGGUCGGUCCUUCCUUUUUGCGCUUCUGCGGAUUCGGUGACUCGAGGCAAAAAUUGAACAAUGGUUUUAAUUCUCUCUGUGCACCCAAGAAACUCAUCAGCAAAGCUGGGUAUCUUUCUAAUGACCACCUAGUUAAGAAUUCAAAUGACCUGAGAGCCUUCUGCUGCUUGUGAAUUAGUUUUUACUUUGUCAGAUGUCUUCAUUUCUUGUCCAGCUGAAGUAUCGAGGGUGACUGUCUGCUUUGACUAACCUGAUAGAGGAGGUGUGAUCUGUGUGAAGCACUGUUAACCCUUUUACCCAUAUGAGAGUUGCUUUCUGUCAUGCAGUUAAUAUAAAACUAUUAUGACUAAAGACUGCUUGUGCUUUUACUGAAACUUGUAUGCUUCCAGGUUGCAGUGAACUGGCAUUUUGACCUGACUGUUUAGGGCUAGCGCCUGAAAUCUGCGAAGUCCUGUGCUUCAGGAUUUGGGCUGCAGCACGGAAACCUGAGCAAUAAUUUCUGCUUUGAAAGCCAUGGUCACAUCGUUUGUAUAUGUUGGAGGACAAAGCGUAGGCUAGACAAGUGUGAUGUAUAACUUGAUGGUGGGUCUGCAGGUGGUCUGCAGUGCCUGGGCUUGCUGGGGGCUGGGAACAGGCUUCGUGGGGUGGGCAACUGAAGUAUACUGCCAAAGCGUCUGGGCACCCC
This is a long non-coding RNA of Cygnus olor (mute swan), 11343 nucleotides long. RefSeq lists it as uncharacterized. Lineage: Eukaryota; Metazoa; Chordata; Aves; Anseriformes; Anatidae. The transcript has 2 exons. The record is from RefSeq and is a predicted model, not a curated record.